CUCCCCUUGGCACUUGCAAUAUAAAUAUUGCAAAAGUUAUGCAAUAUCCAUUGCAUAACCUACAUAUGAAACUUUUGCUGCUGAACCAAGAAACAGACAAGGUCGUCUCUUUCCUGAUGAGGAAGAUUAAUCCUGGUUGUCAAGAGGAAAGAGAGUUGCUGCUAAACAGACUGGGGUGGAGGUAGGCACAGAGGAGUAUACCUGAAAGCUAGGGGUUUCACUGAGAUAUUUCUUGAUAUUCUCAUUUUAAAUAAUAAUGGUUAAUAAGAAACUCUGAUGAAGUAAUAAAGAGAGUAGACUUUAAGGAUUUGGAGACUGGGAAUGAAGGUUUGACUCAUCACCAGGAAACAAUAAGGUCACUCCCAAGCUCUCAGAAAGAACAGGGAAAGGUAGACAAGGAAAAGACCAUGUUGCUAAUGAAAAGCCUGGAGCAGAAGAAGCACCCGAAAGAAGUCCUAUGGGGCUGCUGUAUCCCCUGCAGGAGGCUGCUCUGCUUUAAGAAAUGACUGUGCGGGUGCUGCUGGAGCCAGAGCAGCAAGGCUCUGGCUGAUGUCCACUGGUCAUCAACGCCCACAGGUUCCCAGACACUGGAUUUCACCUGCUCGGAGACCUGCCUCUUAGCAACUCUUCCCCUCAACUACCAGGAUCUCCUGUUGGCAACUAAAUACACUCAAAUCUCUUCAUUCUUAAACAAAUCAAAACAAAAAAUGUCCACCACAGCCAUGAUGAGGAAUAAAAUAUCUAUACAAAUC
Chlorocebus sabaeus (green monkey) is the source of this 752-nucleotide non-coding RNA. Lineage: Eukaryota; Metazoa; Chordata; Mammalia; Primates; Cercopithecidae. The record is from RefSeq and is a predicted model, not a curated record.